CCAGGGCCACCAAACUCGGUGGAGACCUGGAGGGGGUCGAGACAUGUAUACACACCAAGUUUGGUAAGCUUGGGACUUACACUUUGGAAGUUACGGAGCUCGGGUCGUUUUUUUUUUGAAUGGGUGUCAAUGGCAGCUAUGUGAA
Molecule: long non-coding RNA, 145 nt
Organism: Xiphophorus hellerii (green swordtail)
Lineage: Eukaryota; Metazoa; Chordata; Actinopteri; Cyprinodontiformes; Poeciliidae
Exons: 2
Source: RefSeq, a predicted model, not a curated record